CCUUAUCUAAGUUGUCCUGUCGCCCGCGGGUGCCCGGCAACGGCAGCGCAGGCGCACAGAGGCUCCUGCGCUCCAGAGCGCGCCGUUUCCCCGCCCUGGAGCCAACCUGCCGUUCUACCCAGUCUUCCCCAGCGACACGUCAUAGAGACUCGGGUCUUUUCCGCUGCACCGGUCCUCCGUGACCAAUAGCCUUGGGCUUUUCAUAGCUCUCUCUUAGCCACUUCGUCCCCCUCAUCCAGCCUCACUCCUCAGCGCCCCAUUGUCAGAUUUCUGCCUUCCCAGACUCUUCCCCGGGAAUCCCUCCCCUUUUCACUGGGGGGGUUGAAAAAUAAAACAGAACUUUGGGAAAUCCCAGCAUUGAAGAGCUCCCCCCUCAAAAAAAAAAAAAGAAAAAAGAAAAAAAAGAAAAAAGCAAAACAAAACAAAACAAAAAAAAAACCAGCCUGAGAAGUUGUUGUAGAGGAACUCUGGAGAGUGUUCAGCUGAGUCCUGAGUCAGCAGGGCAGUCACCGGCUGACUCGAGGCCUGAAGAGAAAGAACUUUUGGGGUUUCUGGCUGGUUGAUUGUUUAAUGUGAGCAUCUUUGAAUAUUGAUAGGCAGUGAUUGUGAAGGUGAAGACACAGAAGAAUCAAGGAUACAAGGAGUUUCUUGAGGAGAUGGGAGAGAGUGACCUUGGCUGGUGGACCUCUUCCUCUGUAUCCCUAGAGCAGUAGAGGAGGAGAGCUGUAGCCUACUAUGUUAUCCUAGCAUCCUUCAGGAUCUUUAUUUUCUCUUUCAUUCAUUCAUGGAACUUGAAGACAUGAUCAUGGCAAGAUAAGAGAAUUCAGUCUUGCCCACCCCUGCCCAAUCAGCAUCUCAUCUGCUCCAGGGGCAGGAAGUCACCAGGCACAAUGGUGAUUCAAGGUGGGGAUGGCAGCUGUGGCUUUCCCAAGAGGAGCCCUCCCUGGAGAGUCCAGAAGCCAAAAAAGCCCAGGAAAGGACCCUUGUGACCAGCAUCCUGGAUGUGCCAGCCAGGAAGACAGAGGGCCAGUGCUGCUACCUGCAGCCACAAGACUCCACAACCAUGUCCUCAUACUGCUUAUAGACCACGUUGUUGGCAGAGUCAAUGAAGAGGAUGCUGAUGGGACUCAGUCGUGUGGGCACACAGCAGGUCGGUGGUGUGGACUCAGGGUCCAUGGAGUUCAUCAGGGUCUGGAUGACUGCAUGGUUCGUGGGCUCCAGAUGGGAGCGCAAGGGGAACUCACAUAGCCCCUCACAAUGGAAGGCCUCAUACUCAAGGGGUGCAAUGAUCCAGUCAUCCCAGCCCAUGUCCUUGAAGUUAACAUGCAGCGCCUUCCGACUACAACGGGCCUUGGGGUUCUUGCUGGGCCGUUUGCCUUGGCCUGUGGCCAGAGGGGCCCGCCUUUUUCGCCUCUGGCUGAACAGGUACUCAUACA
Long non-coding RNA from Suricata suricatta (meerkat), 1436 nucleotides. RefSeq lists it as uncharacterized. The record is from RefSeq and is a predicted model, not a curated record. The transcript is spliced from 4 exons. Lineage: Eukaryota; Metazoa; Chordata; Mammalia; Carnivora; Herpestidae.